This is a long non-coding RNA of Esox lucius (northern pike), 1077 nucleotides long. The record is from Ensembl. NCBI's taxonomy places the organism in Eukaryota, Metazoa, Chordata, Actinopteri, Esociformes, Esocidae.
CACGCUUGUACCUGCCACUAAACACUAAUGAAGAAAAAAGAAGAAAAAUACAAACAUGCAGCCGAAUUUGUCUGGUGCUUCUCCUUUGUCGCGCUCUAAAGGAAUCAGUUUGUUUCCUCAUACUAAAAGAUGACUACAUCUAGCUUUGGUACUUACCUCCCAGAGAUCUGCUGUCCUGCUGGUCUCAUCUUCGCUGAGGACCACUUUGAGGUGCUCCUACCAGGGCCAGGUGGAUGUUUGUGUGGUGGACUCUCCUCAUACUCAGAAAUGGGUGUGGGACUUUGCCUGCAGCUGUUAGGUCUGAAAGGUCCCUUCCCCCGUGAAAUUAUCUGCUUAGAAAAGCAUUGGACAAGAGGAAAGGACAGGAGAGGAAUCUCCUGAUGUUGUUAGAUUUGCGGACCAUCUUCAGUUGUCACAGAAAGUACUUGAAUGGUCGAGCAUGAGGUGUUAUCCAGAACACCAUAUGUUCAAGGAUCAUCACAGAGGUGGAGUAGGCCAUGUUAUAUGUAAUGUACUCUGCCGUACAGUUUCCUAAAGUUGUGUAAUACAAAUAACCCUAGCAGGCUGUCAGGAUAGUGGAUGUUCAGAGAGAAACUCUCCAGAAGAUGGUCAUGGCUGCACAUAGGAGCAUGACGUUUUGAUAUCUUCACAGCAACCUGAACGUCGUCUUGAUGACCACAUCUUGGUCAUAUCUCGGAGCUGCUGUACCUUAAAGGAACGUUAUCCACACCAAAUAAUGCACCUCGCUCGAUGAAACAUGCUGGAAGCCACUGUGACCUUUUGUUUUUCUUAUAAAUGCAUGGACUGGGUCCUCACACACAAUAGCAGAAAGGUGUGUGUCACAUUACUGAAUGUGAAAGCAUUCAGUAAUAAUGAAUUCUUUCUGUUUCCAGCUGAAGAUCUUAAUGAAAUAAUAUUGAAAAUGAAAAUAAUAACCCCAAUAUUAAAAAGUUAACAAAGAUUCUGCACCUUUCAAAUAGGUACCUCCAUUACCCCCUUGGGAAGGAUUGUAAUUGGUUGCAUGUGUGUAUAUACAUUUCUGCAUAUUGAACUUCAUACUCAAUGUGUCAGCCCGGC